This 67-nucleotide transfer RNA is filed under the name Dipodomys ordii (Ord's kangaroo rat). The record is from Rfam by way of RNAcentral. Lineage: Eukaryota; Metazoa; Chordata; Mammalia; Rodentia; Heteromyidae.
UGUGGCUCAGUGGUAGGGUAGAGUGCUUGCCUUGUAUGCAUGAGGCCCUGGGUUCAAUUCCUCAGCA